Molecule: non-coding RNA, 2397 nt
Organism: Meleagris gallopavo (turkey)
Lineage: Eukaryota; Metazoa; Chordata; Aves; Galliformes; Phasianidae
Source: RefSeq, a predicted model, not a curated record
AGAGCAGAUGUGCCCAUGUCCUGCACUGUUUCUCUUUGUUUUCAUAAGUGCAGGAGUGAAGUCACUGCCUGGCAGAUCUUUCAGUGAUGUCUCAGAAGGAAAGAAGAGCUGCCGGUGGGGCUGCGCAGUGGCAGCACAGGGAGAAGUGCUGGGGCUGUGUGAUGGCACGGAGAUGGCACUGCAAGGAGAGAGGAAGAGUGAGUGAACCUGCGAGCAGCAGGAGCCCAGGGCAGAAACAGACAUCAUCUGGAACUGUCUGCCUGCCAGUGCUUUAGAAACAACACUCUGACGAUAACAAAGUGGGUAUUGGCGUUUUUUCAGAUUGACACUCCUAAUAUUUUGACUGGAGUAUGGAAGUGAGGAGUAGCUGAUCCUAAAAUGCUGGACAAGAUUGCACGAGAUUGGAAACUCACUCCUACUACAGAAAAAAAUGGAAAACUCCAAGUCUUCAGAACAAAUCUGAUUUUUGUUUUCAUGUUCUGCCCGUGUUUGGUGCGGGAGUUGAAAUCAAAAUCCAAAUUGUAUUUCCAGAUCUAGGGGUCAUUUUAAGUACCUUUCCAUCUCCCUAGCACAGGUUUUUCUAAGGCUCGUUGACAUCUAAUGAUAAUAAGGUCUUUCAUUACAGAAUCACAAAAUACUCGGCCUGUGGCCUUAUGUUCAAUUAAUAUUUAUUUGACAAUCAUAGGUAAAUUAAUUUCCAUUGUUUCUGUUCUAAUUCUAUACGAGAUUGUAAGAUACAACUAGAGGAAAGUGCAGAGAGCCUGAGUAAAUGUUGCUCAUACAAAAUGUUUCUAUUACCCUUUACUUUUAAAACCAUUAAUAGAUUAUUAGGAGAUAUAAACAUAGGAGACCAUGGAUCAUAUUUGCAUAUUAAUGAAAUCCAUGAAUUAUACAUUAUUUGCUAUAGAGAGUACUAGGAACAGUAUUCCUUCUUUUUUAAUGGCUAUAAAAACUGGCGGUUUCCUGGAGAACACAUCACAUAGCCUCUGCAAUACCUUCUAAUAGAAAGCAAGCAAGCCAGCUCUUCAAAGCAAUCUCUCACUAAAUUUAAUAGAUAUGUUUGUGUUGCUUUGCAACACACAAGUGUGACAGUUCAUUUUAAACAAAAUAGUUUUAAUAAUGUCAUUACUAAUAUCUGUUUGGUCAUCUCUCUGAAAAAUGGUGUUUUAAUGGGAAUGUUUCAUUUUAAUAAAUGGCAGAAGAGGCAAGCUGCCCUGAGUCAGCAGGAAGUGGAUAUACACCAGAGAACAGGCUGAUUGUGUUAGAUUCAUCCAGAACAUUGAACAGCACACAGACAGUCCAAGAAAAAGCAACUGGCUUUAUUCAAAUGAUUAGUCUUGCUGCUACGCUGUAGCGCAGAUUCACACAUUCUUCUAUUAUUCCUUGACCUUGUGCCAAAAACUCCCACUUGAAGUAAUAAUUAGAAUUAGUGUUUCCAGUGCAUGCUUCCAUCUUCCUAACAAACAGUAAUGAAAUGUGGCUUUUACAAAAUAUGCAGUUAAUUAAACUUUUUAAAAACAUUGGUUGAUUAAUACAGUUCCUCUGUGCUAUCCCCUUGCUGUGCCCAGCUCUUUCUACCUGAUAUUGGUGAACCAGAAGAAAAGCACUAGCAGUGAGAUGAGGGACAGUUUGGAAAUUUGCACUUCAAUAUUUGUUAUAUAUAUAUUUUCUUUUCUUUCUUGUUUUGACUCUGUCUAGGCAUAAACUGGAAAGAUGGCCAUUAUUUGUAAUCACAAGUUUUUAAGCCCAGGACAGUGUGCGCAUUAUAUAACUGCUCUACACAUACCCUCAGCAUGAAUGUGAAGAACACAUAUAUCAAGUGCUACAAGAUGAUGAGGCAGGAAGCAAGUUACAUCUUGGAGAAAUUGCCCUCAGGAGAGAGGAAAAACUAUUGCGAGGUUGACAGCACAACCUUGUAGCAGCGCAGUUUGCCUUUCCCAGUGGUUCAAGGAGUUCCAAGCACCCUCUUGUAAAUCAUCGACUCACAUCUAUUUAUUAUCUUCCAGCCCAGUGCACAACACUAUCUGUUACACACGGAUACCAGCAAUAUUACAAGGUGGACUCCAGGGAUAAGAGACAGCCAACCCCACACACCUCCCACGCCUGAGUCAUACCCGGGGUAACGCCAGGUCCUGCUCAUACCUGCUCUCGGCAGAAAUGAAACAGUACAAGCUGUUGUGUUUCAGAGCCUUUUUUAAUUGAUUCUCCAGAAUGCUUGAUCUUACCUGCUGAUAUCCCUGUGUUAUUAUUCAGAGGCACAGUCUAUCUGCAUAGCAAUGGACAAAAUGCCUGUGAAAAUAUUGCUAUUCAUUCAGUCGAUGUCGGAACUGGAGUAGGCACCAGCUACACUCUGCAAUGCUUGUCCUGGAAUAUCAAUAAAUAAAUCAUAAAAGCCAA